CUGGAGCGUCAUCGCGUGGGCCUGGCGUUGUGGCCGUUGGCGGUGGAACUAGACGCGUCACGGGUGCCGCCGCCGACGCGCGGUGACCGCUGGUGCGCCACGGCACCGGUGCGGCCAGACCCGGACCCACCGCAGCGCGUCUGGCUCUUCAUCGCCUCCACCCGCUCCGGCGUCUCCACCACCUCCUUCAUCGAGGGCCGGCUGUGGAGCUCGCCGGUCAGGCAGCCGAGCGUCAGUUGCGUGAACACCUGCCUGGAGUUGUACUGGCCCUUGAACCACGGGUCCAUGAGCCGCGCCAGCCUCCGACGGUCUGCCAGGUACGGCUUCGCCCAGUCAGCCAGGCUCAGCUGCCCGCUCGGCCGGUUCGAGUCCAGUGCCCGCUGCCCCAACAGCAUCUCCAGCAUCACCACGCCGACAUGGUGGUUUCUUUCACGAAAGUGA
This 441-nucleotide unclassified non-coding RNA is filed under the name Zea mays. Its description in RNAcentral is "misc RNA Zm00001eb046500". Lineage: Eukaryota; Viridiplantae; Streptophyta; Magnoliopsida; Poales; Poaceae. The record is from RNAcentral.